Molecule: ribosomal RNA, 253 nt
Filed under: uncultured bacterium
Lineage: Bacteria
Description: partial 16S ribosomal RNA
Rfam family: Bacterial small subunit ribosomal RNA
Source: RNAcentral
UACAGAGGCCUCGAGCGUUAGGCGGAAUCACUGGGCUUAAAGCGUGUGGAGGCGGAUUGGUAAGUACCUUGUGAAAUCCCACAGCUUAACUGUGGAACUGCUCGGUAUACUGCUGAUCUUGAGCCACUCAGGGGCUACCGGAACAAAUGGUGGAGCGGUGAAAUGCGUAGAUAUCAUUUGGAACGCCAAUGGUGAAAACAGGUAGCUGGGGGUGUGCUGACGCUGAGACACGAAAGCCAGGGGAGCAAACGGG